This 253-nucleotide ribosomal RNA is filed under the name uncultured bacterium. Its description in RNAcentral is "partial 16S ribosomal RNA". It matches the Rfam family "Bacterial small subunit ribosomal RNA", at positions 524 to 776 of the family's 1533-position model. The record is from RNAcentral.
UACGUAGGGUGCAAGCGUUGUCCGGAAUUAUUGGGCGUAAAGAGCUCGUAGGCGGUCUGUCGCGUCUGCUGUGAAAACCUAGGGCUUAACUCUGGGCGUGCAGUGGGUACGGGCAGGCUAGAGUGCGGUAGGGGAGACUGGAAUUCCUGGUGUAGCGGUGAAAUGCGCAGAUAUCAGGAGGAACACCGAUGGCGAAGGCAGGUCUCUGGGCCACUACUGACGCUGAGAAGCGAAAGCAUGGGGAGCGAACAGG